RNAcentral lists this unclassified non-coding RNA (341 nucleotides) under soil metagenome. RNAcentral describes it as "partial contains 5.8S ribosomal RNA, internal transcribed spacer 2, and large subunit ribosomal RNA". The stretch from base 1 to 120 matches the Rfam family "5.8S ribosomal RNA", at positions 35 to 154 of the family's 154-position model. The record is from RNAcentral.
GAUGAAGAACGCAGCGAAAUGCGAUAAGUAGUGUGAAUUGCAGAAUUCAGUGAAUCAUCGAAUCUUUGAACGCACAUUGCGCCCUUUGGUAUUCCAAAGGGCAUGCCUGUUCGAGCGUCAUUUGUACCCUCAAGCUUUGCUUGGUGUUGGGCGUCUUGUCUCUAGCUUUGCUGGAGACUCGCCUUAAAGUAAUUGGCAGCCGGCCUACUGGUUUCGGAGCGCAGCACAAGUCGCACUCUCUAUCAGCGAAGGUCUAGCAUCCAUUAAGCCUUUUUUUCAACUUUUGACCUCGGAUCAGGUAGGGAUACCCGCUGAACUUAAGCAUAUCAAUAAGCGGAGGA